This 427-nucleotide ribosomal RNA is filed under the name uncultured bacterium. RNAcentral describes it as "partial 16S ribosomal RNA". It matches the Rfam family "Bacterial small subunit ribosomal RNA", at positions 355 to 774 of the family's 1533-position model. The record is from RNAcentral.
UGGGGAAUAUUGGACAAUAGGCGAAAGCCUGAUCCAGCCAUGCCGCGUGUGUGAAGAAGGUCUUCGGAUUGUAAAGCACUUUAAGUUGGGUGGAAGGGCAUUAACCUAAUACGUUAGUGUUUUGACGUUACCGACAGAAUAAGCACCGGCUAACUCUGUGCCAGCAGCCGCGGUAAUACAGAGGGUGCAAGCGUUAAUCGGAAUUACUGGGCGUAAAGCGCGCGUAGGUGGUUUGUUAAGUUGGAUGUGAAAUCCCCGGGCUCAACCUGGGAACUGCAUUCAAAACUGACUGACUAGAGUAUGGUAGAGGGUGGUGGAAUUUCCUGUGUAGCGGUGAAAUGCGUAGAUAUAGGAAGGAACACCAGUGGCGAAGGCGACCACCUGGACUAAUACUGACACUGAGGUGCGAAAGCGUGGGGAGCAAACA